This 294-nucleotide ribosomal RNA is filed under the name Haemophilus influenzae. RNAcentral's name for it is "partial 23S ribosomal RNA". It matches the Rfam family "Bacterial large subunit ribosomal RNA", at positions 2645 to 2925 of the family's 2925-position model. The record is from RNAcentral. Lineage: Bacteria; Pseudomonadati; Pseudomonadota; Gammaproteobacteria; Pasteurellales; Pasteurellaceae.
CCGUGGGCGUAGGAGAAUUGGUUGGGGCUGCUCCUAGUACGAGAGGACCGGAGUGGACGCACCACUGGUGUUCCGGUUGUGUCGCCAGACGCAUUGCCGGGUAGCUAAGUGCGGAAGAGAUAAGUGCUGAAAGCAUCUAAGCACGAAACUUGCCAAGAGAUGAGUUCUCCCAAUCUAAGAGAUAGUAAGGGUUGUUGUAGACUACGACGUAGAUAGGUCUGGUGUGUAAGUGUAGUGAUACAUUGAGCUAACAGAUACUAAUUGCCCGAGAGGCUUAACUAUACAACGCUCAAG